GAGAGUCGGAGGGAGUUCACCUGGAGCGGCGAAAUCGGCCGGGGAAGGGCAGCGCCUGACGUCCGAGGGCUGCAGUGGAAAAUCUUUAUAUUUAAUACCUUAAAUGGCAACUAUUGAAAGGAAGUAAAAUCAUGGCAGCAGAUGAUGACAAUGGUGAUGGAACAAGUUUAUUUGAUGUCUUUUCAGCUUCUCCUCUUAAAAAUAAUGAUGAAGGUUCAUUGGAUAUAUAUGCUGGGUUGGACAGUGCUGUUUCUGACAGUACUUCUAAAUCCUGUGUACCAUCCAGAAAUUGUCUGGAUUUAUAUGAAGAGAUCCUGACUGAAGAAGGAACUGCAAAGGAGGCAACAUAUAAUGAUUUACAGGUACAAUAUGGAAAAUGUCAGCUGCAAAUGAAAGAGCUGAUGAAAAAGUUUAAGGAAAUACAGACACAGAAUUUCAGCUUAAAAAAUGAAAACCAGUCUCUUAAGAAGAAUAUUUCAGCACUUAUCAAAACUGCCAGAGUGGAAAUAAACCGCAAGGAUGAAGAAAUAAAUAAUCUUCACCAGAGAUUGUCUGAGUUUCCACAUUUUCGAAAUAAUCAUAAAACUACAAGGACAUCAGAUACAGUUAAAACAAAAGAUUUUAAGUCUAGAUCUCCCCAUUUGGAAGACUGUUCAAAGACUGAUCACAGAGUUAAAAGUGAUGUGUCUAAAGAUGUACAUCAUAGCACUUCACUACCAAACCUGGAAAAGGAAGGAAAAUCACGUUGUGAAAAAAAGAGCACUUCGCAUUUACCUACAUCUGUUGACAAACACUGCACAAACAGUGUUUGGUCACGUUCACAUUAUCAGGUUGGUGAGGGUAACUCAAAUGAGGAUAAUAGAAGAGGGAGAAAAGAUACUAGACAUAGCCAGUAUAGCAGAGGAACUGAUAGAAUGCGAAAAGACUUAAAUACUAGCUAUGGUGAUGGUGAACCAAGGAACAUGGAGGGUAGUCAGAGGUUACAAGGACGUCCUCAGAAAUAUGGUAAAAGUGAACCAAAGACUGAAAACAAAAAUUUAAAGUUUAAAAGUAACACAGAUUUGGAUUAUAAAAGUGAACGCAUUAGCUCUUCGUGGGAGAAAGAAACCUCUAGAGAAAGGUUACACACUCAAGUAGAAUCUCCAAGUGACAAAAAACUAGAAAGACAAAGUGAAAGAUCACAAAAUAUAAAUAGAAAAGAACUUAAAUCACAAGAUAAAGAAGAAAGAAAAGUUGAUCAAAAACCUAAGUCAGUAGUAAAGGACCAGGAUCAUUGGAGAAGAACAUCCAAUGAACGAGCAUCACUUCCUCAUUCCAAGAAUGAAAUAAAAUCUUGUCAUAAUUCAAGUAAAUACCAUCUAGAAGAGAGAAGAGGAAGGGAAGAUUGUAAAAGAGACAGGGGUGUAAGAAAUCACAGUUUUCAAGAUGGAAGAUGUCCAUCUUCUCUUUCAAGCAGUAGAACUCACAAACACAUUGACUCCAGGGAAGUUGAUGCUGUGCACCAAUGGGAAAAUAUACCUUUAAAAGUAGAAAGGCAUAGAACUGAAGAUAAGAGGGAAAGAGAACGAGAAAGCAAAGAAGAAAAUAGGCAUAUGAGAAAUAAAAGAAAAAUACCUAUGGAACAUUUACAGAAGACUAAUAAAGAAACUAAGAAAACCAGUGUUGAUUUAAAUAGACAAAAUGAGCAAAAAAAUGAUAAAGUUAAAGUCUCUAAUGAAGUUUCUGAAGGAGCAGAUAAUAAAGAGCCCACAGUGAAUGCUGAGAGUGGUCCAAAUGAAAUAAAAAACAAAGACUUAAAGUUGAGUUUUAUGGAAAAAUUGAAUUUAACUCUUUCUCCUGCUAAAAAGCAGCCUGUUUCUCAGAAUAAUCAGCAUGAAAUAACUGAUAUUCCCAAGUCCAGUGGUGUAUGUGAUCUGGAGUCCUCUGUGCAAGCUAAGACAGUGACAUGUGUUCCCUCUGUUAGUGAACAUAUCACAGAGGAAACCAAAUCAAAGUUACUAGAACCAACAGAUGCUCUUCCAACAGCAUCUGAACCCAGGAUCAAAAUGGAAGGAGAAAAUAGUUUGUUAGUUAAAUCUGUUGAGAAUGCUGUGCAUUGUGAAGUGCCCAUUUGUGGUAGAAAGACUUCAUUCUCAACACCUUUGGAAGGGGAACAAAUAGAAUCCUCGUUUCCUUCAACAGAAAUGGAACAAACUGUUAAUGAUGCAAGGGCAGCAGCUCCUGUGGUAAUGGAUGUAUUGCAAACAGAUGUUUCUCAAAACUUUGGCUCAGAAAUGGAUACCAAAAGAAAUGAUGGUUUAAAUUCUUGUAGUAUUUCUGAAGAUAUGGAAAUGAAAGUGGCUCUUUCAACAAAGGUGGCUGAAACCAGUGAAAGCAUUUUGUAUCCUUCAAUUGAAGAAGCUGGCAUUUUGCCAAUAAUUCUUUCAGAAGAUGAUAAACCAAAAUUUGAGCCUUCUCUUGUAGAUCCACCACUGGUUGAGAGUAAGUCUUGUCAUUUGGAGCCUUGUUUACCUAAAGAGGCUUUAGAAUCUUCACUUCAGCAGACUGAGUUAAUGGACAAUGGAAUAGAAAUUGGCGAAACAAACUCAGUAUAUCAGGAUGAUGAGAACUCGGUUUUAAGCAUUGACCUUAAUCACCUGAGACCUAUUCCAGAAGCCAUCAGUCCUCUGAAUAGUCCAGUGAGACCUGGAGCAAAAGUUCUUAGAAUGGAAAGCCCAUCUCAAGUCACGUUAUAUAAUAACAGUCAUAAAGAUGUAUUUCCACCAGAUUCAGCUCAUUCUACCUCCAAGAGUCAGUCUGAUCUCAAUAAGGAAAAUCAAAAGCCAAUUCACAAAUCUGACAAAUGUACAGAAGCAGAGUCCUGUAAGAAUUCAUCUUUAGAUGAAUUAGAAGAAGGAGAAAUUGUAAGCGACAGUGAAAAAUCUAAACCACAAAAAAGUUUUGGAAAAAGUGCCAAGCCUAGAGCUUCAGAAGCGCAGAACACAAAGACUAACUCAAGAAGUAGGACAAGUACUGUGCAUUUAGAUAAAGACAAAAGGAAAACAUCUGUAAAAAUCCAUCAGACCAAUAGCAAAUGGAAUAAAAAACCAAGUGAAUCUAGCAGAUCUUCAAAAACAGAGAAGAAAGAUAAAACAAUGAACACUUCCUGCUUGGAAAAAAUAGUUCCAAUUAUUGCUGUGCCCUCUUCUGUACGAGAGAUUAUGCACAUGUUACGAAUGAUAAGAAAAUAUGUAAGGAAAAAUUAUAUGAAGUUCAAGGUAAAAUUUUCAUUAAUACAAUUUCAUAGAAUUAUUGAGUCAGCAAUUUUGAGUUUUACAUCACUAAUUAAACACUUAAACUUAUCCAAAAUCUCUAAGUCAGUGACCACUUUACAGAAGAAUCUCUGUGAUGUUGUAGAAUCUAAACUUAAGCAAGUUAAAAAGAAUGGCAUAGUUGAUCGUUUAUUUGAACAGCAGCUACCAGAUAUGAAAAAAAAAUUGUGGAAGUUUGUAGAUGAACAACUUGAUUAUUUGUUUGCAAAGCUUAAGAAAAUCUUAGUAAAGUUUUGUGAUUCCAUAAACUUUGGAAGUGACAGUGAUGAAGGAAAACCUGAAAAAACAAAUACAGAGAAAGGACAAUAUUCAAAUUGUCAGAAGGGGAAUGUGGGCAACUUCAACAAAGAAAUGCUAAAAGAAAAACUGCCAAAAUCAGAAAACUCUGUUCAUUAUAAGUCUUUACUGGGAUGUAAAAAAUCUGAGGAAAAGCAUCAAGACCAAAAUAACUUCAGUAUUAACAUACUAACGCAUGACAUUAAAAAAAGUUUUAACGCCUGCUUUGAUAAUAUAAAAAACUCUCAAUCUGAAGAGCACAACUUGGAACUAAACUGUCCGAGCACUCCAAAGCCAGGAAAAACUGAAGGCAACACCACAGAGGAUGCACAGACCUCUCAGCAUGCAGCUUUGAAGCCAGAACGCAGUUUUGAGAUUCUUACUGAACAGCAGGCAUCUAGCCUUACUUUUAAUUUAGUGAGUGAUGCGCAGAUGGGUGAAAUAUUUAAAAGUUUGUUGCAAGGUUCUGAUCUUUUGGACAACAGUGUUAACUGUACUGAAAAAAGUGAGUGGGAGUUAAAGACUCCAGAGAAACAGCUGCUAGAGAGUCUUAAGUGUGAAUCAAUACCAGCUUGUACAUCAGAAGAGCUAGUUUCAGGAGUGGCUUCUCCAUGUCCUAAAAUGAUUAGUGAUGAUAAUUGGUCAUUAUUAUCAUCUGAAAAAGGUCCAUCUCUGUCUUCGGGGCUUUCGUUGCCAGUUCAUCCUGAUGUGUUAGAUGAAAGUUGUAUGUUUGAAGUGUCUACUAACAUAGCUUUAAGUAAAGAUAACGUAUGUAGUUCAGAAAAGAGCAAGCCCUGUAUUUCUUCAAUACUUCUUGAAGAUCUAGCAGUCUCCUUAACAGUACCAUCACCUCUGAAGUCAGAUGGUCAUCUCAGUUUCUUAAAGCCUGAAGUUUUGUCUAGUUCAACUCCUGAAGAAGUUAUUAGUGCCCAUUUUAGUGAAGAUGCUUUACUUGAGGAAGAGGAUGCAUCUGAGCAAGAUAUCCAUUUAGCUCUGGAGUCUGAUAAUUCAAGCAGUAAAUCAAGUUGUUCUUCAUCAUGGACAAGCCGGUCUGUUGCUCCAGGCUUUCAGUACCACCCUAAUCUACCUAUGCAUGCUGUCAUAAUGGAAAAGUCCAAUGACCACUUCAUUGUGAAAAUACGACGUGCAGCACCUUCUAACUCCCCUGGUCUUAAACAGAAUAUGGUGGCUGAUGAGUCACUGGCAUCUUUGCCCAGAGUUGGAAAGGAAGCUGAUGAAGCAGCAGAGAAAGAAUAUAUUUCAUGUCAGAACAUCAUUUUAAAAUCUGUGGAGGAGUUGGAAAAUUCCAACAAAAAUGUUGAUAGCAGUAAAUCAAGUCAUGAAGAACAGAACUCAAUGAUACAAACACAGGUUCCUGAUAUAUAUGAAUUUCUUAAAGAUGCUUCAGGUGAGGUGGUUCACAAUGAUGAAGCAGCUGAUGAAUGUUUCAAGUUGCAUCAAGUAUGGGAACCAAAAGUCCCUGAAAGCAUUGAAGAAUUGCCUUCAAUGGAAGAAAUUCCACACUCAGUCAGGGACCCUCUUCCAAACACGUACAUAGACCUAACAAAAGAUCCGGUCACCGAGACCAAGAACCUGGGGGAAUUUGUAGAAGUAACGGUUUUAAAUAUUGAUCAGUUGGGAUGUCCUAGAGGCAAUUUAGAUCAAAAUGCUGAAAUAUUAGACAAUUCUUUGCAGUCUGAUACUGUAGAUGCUUUUAUUGAUUUGACACAAGAGGCUUCAAGCGAAAGUAAAAAUGAUGGUGAUGGUCCUGAGUUAGCUGUUGAAGGCUUGGAGUGUCAGGUGAUAUGUAUAGUUGAAGAUAAUUGUAAGGAAGAAAAGGUGCAAGUGUCAAACAAGUCUUUGGAAUGCAUUGUUGAGGAAACCUACAUCGAUUUGAUUACAGAAUCUCCCAGUUCAUGUGAUAUAAAAAAGGAUGAUUUAAAAUCAGAACCCACAUCAAAUUCUGAUACUUCAGUGUUGUCUGGGACUUUGGAUAAUGCUCACAAAAAGAGGAAAAACCUUUCUGAUAUAAGUCAUUUUUCUCAGAAAAAACAAAGAAAGGAAACAGACUUAACCAUUAGGGAAAAGACCAAGAAACUUACCCAGGAUUCUGGUGAGAAUAGUGAUACUCAUCAAAAGAAAACCAAUAAGAAAAGGGCCCCUGCAGUGAAUAAAGAUCCUUCAUCAAAGACAAGCCCAGGAAUUAAGGAUUCAGCAGCAGCACUCGCCACUUCUCCUACAAUCCUUUCUGCAAAGAAUGUUAUUAAAAAGAAGGGAGAAAUUAUAGUUUCAUGGACAAGAAAUGAUGAUCGGGAAAUUUUAUUGGAAUGUCAGAAAAGAGGGCCAUCAUUAAAAACAUUUACAUAUUUAGCUCCCAAAUUGAAUAAAAAUCCAACUCAGGUCUCAGAAAGAUUCCAGCAGCUAAAGAAGCUCUUUGAAAAGUCAAAAUGCAGGUAGUUAAUGGUUACAGGAGACAAGUAGAGUAAAUGUUUGAAACUGUAAUUGUGCAGUUAAUGGCCUGUUAGUCAUUGAAGAUGUGAGUAGUGGGUGAGAGACAUCCAGUUGAGUUCCUGCUUCAGUCACAGAUUGGAGGAUGGUUGCUUAUGCAGGCACCUAAGGUCACCUCAUCCACAGGGACGUGCUCAGGGUGAAGCCUGCUGCAGUUCAGAUCAGCAUGGCAUCUCUCCUCAACCUUCUGCUUGCUGAUGAGUCUAAGAUAAAUUGCUGAAUUCCUUGGAGUCUUAAUUGAUAUUGCAUACUACACAGAAGCUUCGAAUUCCUCAUGGUCUAAAUGGGGAACUACAGGGAGGUUUUAUCAUCUUUUUGGUUACUAGAUGAUAACCUACAUUUGUUAUUACUUGCUGACUCUUUAAUCUCAAGUCAGCAUAUUCAGCUUGUUCCAGUCACCAGUCUGAUUUGCUUACCUAUUGGUCAAAGUAUUUAUUUUUAAAUAUGUUAGAACUUGUUAUCACAAUGAAAGCAGCAGUGAUUAGUAUUGAAAUCUUAGUUUUGGUAUUUCAAAGAAAUGAUUUUCUUUUCUAGAAUUUUAAAACAUGUAGCAUUUUAAAUUUAACAACUAUUUAGUUCAAGUU
RNA transcript from Galeopterus variegatus (Sunda flying lemur), 6679 nucleotides. It is a transcript of the gene named caspase 8 associated protein 2, with no coding region annotated. The transcript has 11 exons. The record is from RefSeq and is a predicted model, not a curated record. Lineage: Eukaryota; Metazoa; Chordata; Mammalia; Dermoptera; Cynocephalidae.